Molecule: long non-coding RNA, 294 nt
Organism: Scophthalmus maximus (turbot)
Lineage: Eukaryota; Metazoa; Chordata; Actinopteri; Pleuronectiformes; Scophthalmidae
Exons: 3
Source: RefSeq, a predicted model, not a curated record
UCUCAUGCCACUCCACCAUAACCGUGGACUUGACGGUGUCAACGGAUUUGACCGUUGCCAGGUGCACUCGACCUGGUUAACAUACAAACGAACAAACGAAAAGAGUGGUCAGAGAAGUACACACAGCUGCAGUAACACCACGGGAAUGACUUGUCUGUCCACAGGACUCACCAGAGAAGUCAUAUGUUUGCUGGCACGGUGCAGGGGUACAACAUGUGGACCCAGAGAUCUCAAAGAAAAACUACACCUCCACACAGAGUUUUACAGCCUGCCCUAAAACCACAGCGAUGGGCU